CCCUUAGAUGUCCUGGGCCGCACGCGCGCUACACUGAUGCAUUCAACGAGUUUUACCUUGGCCGAGAGGCCUGGGCAAUCUUUUAAACCUGCAUCGUGAUAGGGAUAGAUUAUUGCAAUUAUUAAUCUUGAACGAGGAAUUCCUAGUAAACGCAAAUUAUCAAUUUGCAUUGAUUACGUCCCUGCCCUUUGUACACACCGCCCGUCGCACCUACCGAUUGAAUGGUCCGGUGAAGCCUCGGGAUUGUGGCCAGUUCACUUUAUUGGGAGUUGGCUGCGAGAACUUGUCUAAACCUUAUCAUUUAGAGGAAGGUGAAGUCGUAACA
RNAcentral lists this ribosomal RNA (325 nucleotides) under uncultured eukaryote. Its description in RNAcentral is "partial 18S ribosomal RNA". It matches the Rfam family "Eukaryotic small subunit ribosomal RNA", at positions 1470 to 1796 of the family's 1831-position model. The record is from RNAcentral.